GGCCGGUUGGCGCAAUGGUAGCGCGUGUCCCUCCUAUAAAUAUGACAGGACAAGGCUGUGGGUUCGAGUCCCAUGCUGGUCG
This is a non-coding RNA of Tothia fuscella, 82 nucleotides long. The record is from the annotation of a GenBank genome assembly. NCBI's taxonomy places the organism in Eukaryota, Fungi, Ascomycota, Dothideomycetes, Venturiales, Cylindrosympodiaceae.